GGCCGCCUGAGCGCAGUUUGGAGCGCGGCGCGUGUGUGUAGACACGGCUGGUUCGAUUCCAAGGGCGGCCA
RNAcentral lists this transfer RNA (71 nucleotides) under Caudoviricetes sp. RNAcentral's name for it is "tRNA-OTHER". Lineage: Duplodnaviria; Heunggongvirae; Uroviricota; Caudoviricetes. The record is from RNAcentral.